Molecule: unclassified non-coding RNA, 376 nt
Filed under: uncultured Pseudomonadota bacterium
Lineage: Bacteria; Pseudomonadati; Pseudomonadota
Description: uncultured proteobacterium contains 16S-23S intergenic spacer region
Source: RNAcentral
UCCGAUUUGUCACCGGCAGUCUCCUAUGAGUCCCCGUCAUUACACGCUGGCAAUUAACGACAAGGGUUGCGCUCGUUGCGGGACUUACCCAACAUCUCACGACACGAGCUGACGACGGCCAUGCAGCACCUGUCACUAGGCUCCCGAAGGCACUCCACCGUUUCCGGCGGAUUCCUAGGAUGUCAAGCCUGGGUAAGGUUCUACGCGUAGCGUCAUAUUAAACCACAUCAUCCUCUGCUUGUGCGGGUCCCCGUCAAUUCCUUUGAGUUUUAAUCUUGCGACCGUACUCCCCAGGCGGUCAACUUCACGCGUUAGCUGCGGUACUGAGAAAUCGCUUCCCCAACACCUAGUUGACAUCGUUUAGGGCGUGGACUAC